CCACAUUACAUAAAGUGUCUAUACAUGCCAUAAAAUUUCGGAACACUAGUAGUAAAAUACCCCAAAUGUGAAGGAUAGUGUAGAUGAUUGUCUGACUUCGUUCCAAUUUCCGAGUUGUUGGAGGUCACUAUAACCAAGAGAAAAAUAAAAUCGAGUAAGCAUAUAGCUUAGUAAGUAAACACAUGAUAAAUAAGUAAUUACUCCCAUAACUACACCAAAAUAUAAACUUAUUCAUGAAUAACUUUAUUGUUUAGGCAAUUUCCAGCAAGCUGUUUUUCUGCGUCAUAGUCGCUAAUUUAUUUUUAUCUGGAGCUACAGGGCUCCAAAUUGAGUUCCGUAAAUUUUCCCUGAAACUAGACUCAUAUACCAUUUCACCAUAAAAAUUUCAGAAUUUUUAACCCAGCCAAUUAGUACAGUUUAUUCAUUAAACCUUCCCCUGUUUCACUGCCCAACGGUUCUGACCCUUCCUCACUAAAAUUUACUUAACUCUCUGUACAAAAUUUGAAAAAUGGGUUUUCUUGUUUCUAAUAAAAAUAGACUCAAUAAGGAUUCCAGGGAUAUAAAUUUCAUGCCAUAAUUAUUUUUUUUACAAUUUUUGGUAAUUUUCCAAAGUUAGAACAGGGGAUCUCGAAAUCAAUCCAGCCCUGUUUUAGUAAAAUUCAGAUAUCUCCAAAAAUACAACUCUUUUGCUUAUUCUAUUUCUUUCAUAUGAAAACAGACACAUCCAGCUUCAAUUUCAUAUAUUAUUCAGCUUCCCAUUCAUUUUCCACCAUUUAUGGUGAUUUUUCAAAGUUACCCAACUGCUGUUGUUCAACACAGUUUAUAAUUAAAUCGUUCCUUUUUCGUUUUUGAUAUUUUCUCCCAUCUCAUACAUGGAUCGAUUUAGUGUCCAACUCAAUAUUUACCCCAUAAAAUUUUCCACCAUAUGGCAAUAUUCACCUUCCACACUUUUUCGUUGAACACUCGGAAUGUUAACCGUUAUUGGUGGAUCUCGCACUUAGCACCACCACUGAAUCGGGGAAUCAUCACUUAGCAACCCCUCGGGGGAAUCAGCACAUAGCAACCCCCUUUUCAUUUCAAAGAUACAAUGGAUAUCGCACUUAGCAACCCCUCGGGGGAAUCAGCACAUAGCAACCCCCUUUCACAUUUCAAAGAUAUGGUGGAUAUCGCACUUAGCACCACCAAUGAACCGGGGAAUCAGCACUUAGCAACCCCUCGGGGGAAUCAGCACAUAGCAACCCCCUUUCACAUUUCAAAGAUAUGGUGGAUCACGCACAUAGCACCACCCAUAAAUCGGGGAAUCAGCACACAGCAACCCCUUUUAUAUACAACAUACUACGGCUUAUUCCGAGUGUUCAACCCAUAACCCAUAUAUUGCAACCCUUUAUCACCUUUCCCGAUUUAACAACAUUUUUAGGAUAUUACCAAACAUUUAUUUUAAUUCCAAAUAAAUCUCAACAUAUAUCAAAUAAUAUCAAAAUAAUACAUUAAGUCACGUGUUUACUUACCUCGGUGCAAAAUAUCGUAAUUUUGCACUUUACUCCACUAUCUUUUCUUUUCCUCGUUUGAUAUACUCUUCACGUCUUUCUUGAUCUAUAAUAGCAAAUUUAACUCGUUUAAAGUCCACAUUUAUUAAAAUAAUCCACCACCCAACUUUUUGAAAAUUACAAUUUUGCCCCCAAACUUUUGCAUAAUUACACUUUUGUCCCCAAGCUCGGAAAUUAAACUUCAUCACUUAUUCUUAAGUUUUAUAACAUGCUGAACAUUUUUUCCUUCUAUGGAAACAUCAAAUUCCCACUCCAACACAUACUUUUGAAUAUUAAUUAUUUUUACCGAUUAUGUCUAUUUACCCGUUUUCGCUUAAAAUUGCUUAGCAAAAGUUGUUUAACAUAAUCUCUAGCUUCAUAUUCCACCAUAAAACAGCAAAAUAAACACAUUUCACCUAUGGAUAUUUUUCCAAAUAUGAACCCUAACAUGAAUUAAUGGUAGAAUAAGCUAAACCAAGUUACCGAGACUCUAAAAAUACGAAGAACAUUAAAAACGGGGCUUAGAAUCACUUACUAUAGAGCUUGAAAGCUUAAAAACCCUAAAUAUGGCUUCCCCCUUGCUG
This 2110-nucleotide long non-coding RNA is filed under the name Gossypium barbadense (sea-island cotton). RNAcentral describes it as "long non-coding RNA (GBAR_LNC008584)". The record is from RNAcentral. Lineage: Eukaryota; Viridiplantae; Streptophyta; Magnoliopsida; Malvales; Malvaceae.